AAAAAGAAAAACCCUGAUUUCCGUGUCUAACGUUUGAAUGUCUGUCUUAUUUGAAAAAAUUAUGAAAAAAAUUAAAAAGACAAGUCAUGCAUAAAAUAUUAAUCAUGUUUUAUCAUCUAACAACAAUAAAAAUAUGAAUUAUAAAAAAAUUUCAUAUAAAACGGACAGUCAAAGUUGGACACGGAAACCCAGGGUUUGCCUUUUU
Molecule: microRNA precursor, 205 nt
Filed under: Oryza barthii
Lineage: Eukaryota; Viridiplantae; Streptophyta; Magnoliopsida; Poales; Poaceae
Description: MIR812 microRNA precursor family
Rfam family: MIR812 microRNA precursor family
Source: Rfam by way of RNAcentral